Molecule: small nuclear RNA, 107 nt
Filed under: Neotoma lepida (desert woodrat)
Lineage: Eukaryota; Metazoa; Chordata; Mammalia; Rodentia; Cricetidae
Source: RNAcentral
GUGCCUUCUUCAGCAGCCCAUAUACUAAAAUUAGAUUGAUACAGAGAAGAUUAGCAUGGCCCCUGCACAAGGAUGACAUGCAAAUUCAUAAAGUGUUCCAUAUUUUA